ACAUCGAUGGUGAAACGGUAUCAUGCUUGCCUUCCACUUCUGUGAGCAAGCGGCACGGGUUCGACUCCCGUUCGAUGUA
Molecule: transfer RNA, 79 nt
Filed under: Pleurotus eryngii
Lineage: Eukaryota; Fungi; Basidiomycota; Agaricomycetes; Agaricales; Pleurotaceae
Rfam family: tRNA
About the family: Transfer RNA (tRNA) molecules are approximately 80 nucleotides in length. Their secondary structure includes four short double-helical elements and three loops (D, anti-codon, and T loops).
Source: Rfam by way of RNAcentral